GACGAACGCUGGCGGCGUGCCUAAUACAUGCAAGUAGAACGCUGAAGGAGGAGCUUGCUUCUCUGGAUGAGUUGCGAACGGGUGAGUAACGCGUAGGUAACCUGCCUGGUAGCGGGGGAUAACUAUUGGAAACGAUAGCUAAUACCGCAUAAGAGUAGAUGUUGCAUGACAUUUGCUUAAAAGGUGCAAUUGCAUCACUACCAGAUGGACCUGCGUUGUAUUAGCUAGUUGGUGAGGUAACGGCUCACCAAGGCAACGAUACAUAGCCGACCUGAGAGGGUGAUCGGCCACAAUGGGACUGAGACACCGCCCAGAAUCCUAAGGGAGGCCGCAGUAGGGAAUCUUCGGCAAUGGACGGAAGUCUGACCGAGCAACGCCGCGUGAGUGAAGAAGGUUUUCGGAUCGUAAAGCUCUGUUGUAAGAGAAGAACGAGUGUGAGAGUGGAACGUUCACACUGUGACGGUAUCUUACCAGAAAGGGACGGCUAACUACGUG
RNAcentral lists this ribosomal RNA (495 nucleotides) under uncultured bacterium. Its description in RNAcentral is "partial 16S ribosomal RNA". It matches the Rfam family "Bacterial small subunit ribosomal RNA", at positions 28 to 507 of the family's 1533-position model. The record is from RNAcentral.